RNAcentral lists this ribosomal RNA (467 nucleotides) under uncultured bacterium. RNAcentral's name for it is "partial 16S ribosomal RNA". It matches the Rfam family "Bacterial small subunit ribosomal RNA", at positions 28 to 507 of the family's 1533-position model. The record is from RNAcentral.
GAUGAACGCUGGCGGCGCGCCUAACACAUGCAAGUCGAACGAUUAAAGCACCUUCGGGUGUGUAUAAAGUGGCGAACGGCUGAGUAACACGUGGGCAACCUGCCCCUUUCAUUGGGAUAGCCACGGGAAACCGUGGAUAAUACCGAAUACUUCGAGACUUCCGCAUGGAAGACUCGAGAAAGCUCCGGCGGAGAGGGAUGGGCCCGCGGCCUGUUAGCUUGUUGGUGGGGUAACGGCCUACCAAGGCAAUGAUGGGUAGCUGGGUUGAGAGACCGACCAGCCAGAUUGGGACUGAGACACGGCCCAGACUCCUACGGGAGGCAGCAGUGGGGAAUCUUGCACAAUGGGCGAAAGCCUGAUGCAGCGACGCCGCGUGCGGGAUGAAGGCCUUCGGGUUGUAAACCGCUUUCAGCAGGGACGAGGCGAAAGUGACGGUUCCUGCAGAAGAAGCCCCGGCUAACUACGUG